RNAcentral lists this ribosomal RNA (253 nucleotides) under uncultured microorganism. RNAcentral's name for it is "partial 16S ribosomal RNA". It matches the Rfam family "Bacterial small subunit ribosomal RNA", at positions 524 to 776 of the family's 1533-position model. The record is from RNAcentral.
UACGUAGGGGGCAAGCGUUACUCGGAAUUACUGGGCGUAAAGGGUGAGUAGGCGGCUGGGCAAGUCAAGGAUGAAAUCCCGAGGCUCAACUUCGGAACUGUCCUUGAAACUGCUCAGCUUGAGGGUAGUUGAGGAGAGCGGAAUUCCCGGUGGAGCGGUGAAAUGCGUAGAUAUCGGGAGGAACACCGAUGGCGAAGGCAGCCCCCUGGGCCUGUACUGACGCUCAUGCACGAAAGCGUGGGGAGCAAACAGG